GCUGGGUGCUUUGCAUACACUGGAAUUGGAACAAUAGAGAGAAGAUUAUCAUGUCUCCUGCACGAAGGAUGACAUGCAAAUUCAUGAAGUGCUCCAUAUUUUU
Small nuclear RNA from Spermophilus dauricus (Daurian ground squirrel), 103 nucleotides. The record is from Ensembl. NCBI's taxonomy places the organism in Eukaryota, Metazoa, Chordata, Mammalia, Rodentia, Sciuridae.